Molecule: small nuclear RNA, 178 nt
Filed under: Cervus hanglu yarkandensis (Yarkand deer)
Lineage: Eukaryota; Metazoa; Chordata; Mammalia; Artiodactyla; Cervidae
Description: U4 spliceosomal RNA (ENSCHYG00000022215.1)
Rfam family: U4 spliceosomal RNA (bases 1-82)
Source: RNAcentral
AGCUUUGCGCAGUGGCAGUAUCGUAGCCAAUGAGGUUUAUCGGAGGCGCGAUUAUUGCUAAUUGAAAAGAAAAAAAAAAAUGUAACCUGCUUGAGGACAUGUUUCUCCUUCUUGAGAACCUUCUGACUAAUCCUGUUAUCUUAAAAUGUAUAUUGUGGGAAUGGGUCUGGUAAGACCU